AAACCUCUUUCAGCACAGACGAAGCGCCUGUGAAGGUGGUGACGGUAUGUGCAGAAGAAGCACCGGCCAACUACGUGCCAGCAGCCGCGGUAAUACGUAGGGUGCGAGCGUUGUCCGGAAUUAUUGGGCGUAAAGGGCUCGUAGGCGGUUUGUCGCGUCGGGAGUGAAAUCCACUGGCUUAACUGGUGGCUUGCUUUCGAUACGGGCAGACUGGAGGUAUGCAGGGGAGAACGGAAUUCCUGGUGUAGCGGUGAAAUGCGCAGAUAUCAGGAGGAACACCGGUGGCGAAGGCGGUUCUCUGGGCAUGUCCUGACGCUGAGGAGCGAAAGUGUGGGGAGCGAACAGGAUUAGAUACCCUGGUAGUCCACACCGUAAACGUUGGGCGCUAGGUGUGGGAUCCAUUCCACGGGUUCCGUGCCGCAGCUAACGCAUUAAGCGCCCCGCCUGGGGAGUACGGCCGCAAGGCUAAAACUCAAAGGAAUUGACGG
RNAcentral lists this ribosomal RNA (488 nucleotides) under uncultured bacterium. RNAcentral describes it as "bacterial SSU rRNA". It matches the Rfam family "Bacterial small subunit ribosomal RNA", at positions 427 to 916 of the family's 1533-position model. The record is from RNAcentral.